This 710-nucleotide ribosomal RNA is filed under the name Wolbachia endosymbiont of Damaeus onustus. RNAcentral describes it as "bacterial SSU rRNA". It matches the Rfam family "Bacterial small subunit ribosomal RNA", at positions 540 to 1249 of the family's 1533-position model. The record is from RNAcentral. Lineage: Bacteria; Pseudomonadati; Pseudomonadota; Alphaproteobacteria; Rickettsiales; Anaplasmataceae.
GUUAUUUGGAAUUAUUGGGCGUAAAGAGCGCGUAGGCUGAUUAGUAAGUUAAAAGUGAAAUCCCGAGGCUCAACCUCGGAGUUGCUUUUAAAACUGAUAGUUUAGAGAUUAAAAGAGGGUAGAGAAAUUCCUAGUGUAAAUAUGAAAUUUGUAAAUAUUAGGAGGAACACCAGUGGCGAAGGCGUCUAUCUGGUUCGAAUCUGACGCUGAAGUGCAAAAACGUGGGGAACAAACAGGAUUAGAUACCCUGGUAGUCUACGCCGUAAACGAUGAAUGCUAAAUAUAAGAAGGUCACUUUCUGUAUUACAGCUAACGCGUUAAGCAUUGCGCCUGGGGACUACGGUCGCAAGAUUAAAACUUAAAGGAAUUGACGGGAACCCGCACAAGCGGUGAAGCAUGUGUUUUAAUUCAAUGCAACGCAAAAAACCGUACCACUCUUCGACAUAAAAAUUAUACCCAUUCGAAGGAAUAGAGUCGGUCCGGCCGGAUUUCACAUAGGUGUUGCAUGGCUGUCGUCAGCUCGUGUCUUGAGAUGUUGGGUUAAGUCCCCCAACGAGCGCAACCCUAGUCCUUAGUUACCAUUAGAUAAUGUUGGGGAUUUUAAGGAAACUGCUAGUGAUAAACUGGAGGUGGGUGGGGAUUAUGUCAAGUCAUCAUGGCCCUUAUGGAGUGGGCUACACACGUGCUACAAUGGUGGCUACAAUGGGCUG